UCCCUAAUGCUAAUUAACUUUAGCUGCUUAGAUGCAGUGAAAGAAAAUCAGGCAAUGUUAUUAUACUGUACUUAGUUUAAAAAAGAGCUAUUGUGCUGUUUGUAGUAGGUUCCAGCUUAUCCAAAAUUCAAUACGUAUUAUGUAGACCUCAAGGAAGUAUGAAUGAAUGAAGUGAAUAACCACAGGUCCACUUUAAGGCUGUCCUUUAAGGUGUUUUAUUCAUAUGACAAAACAAAAACAAGACACUUUGCUUCUGAUUAACAAUCGUUGAAACCUUCAACCUUGCCAGAUGUCACUUCAUCUCAAUGCAUAGAAUACUUUUGUGUAAUGUAUUUGUGUUGGCUCUUCAUCUUCGUGGAAAUGUUUUUGUGUAUGAGUAGACUGCAGAAUCCAAAUUUCAAUCAAAAUAUAUAUAUAAAAAAAUACCGUAUAUAUAACCUAGCACUGCUAUGCACUCAAUCAAGACUGGAGCAUUCAACUAAAUUAACCUUGACUCCUUCUCCGUGGUAAAGCGAGAAAUAGAAGGCCACCGUGCAAGCUGGUCCACCAGGUCCACAGCAGUGUGGUGGAGAUUGAAUGGGUUUGUGGAGCAGGAAGAUGUGUGAUAACCUGGCAACCAUGCGUGACACUGAAUCAAUUUUGUCACAGACCUCUUACACAGUAACUGGUUCUUACAAACACCUCCACACACCCAAGCCAUAGGACUGCUUACGUGUUAUUCUCCCGAGGUCACCUGUAGAAACUGAGGUCAUAUCUUCCUAUCACCUUAUAUUGCUUCAUAUCAUUGUGUACGAUAUAUUCCUUAUAACCCAGUUAUCAUCCUGGCUACUCUGUUUACAUUGCUUUGUAUUCAAUGCUGUUUGUCCCCUCUGACAUUCUUUUACAGAUUCCCAGACAAAAGAUGCCUAUCUAGACAAGCAUAUUGCAGUAUUUUGCAGUGGAACAAUAUGCAAGGAUCUUAGAGAAGACCGUCCGCCUAAUAAAUUAAGAUGCUGCCUGGAGUGUUCUCUUCAAUGGAGGAUAUGCACUAUGAAGUGUUUGAUAGAAGUGUUAACAGAAGAUAAGGGGGAUACACGUGUUACUACUAUCAGUUUAUGAGUACCAAAUAUAUGCUGCAUAUACAUUCAUCCAUCCAUCCAUCUUCUUCCGCUUAUCCAAGGUCGGGUCGCGGGGGAAGCAGCCUAAGCAGGGAAGCCCAGACUUCCCUCUCCCCAGCCACUUCGUCCAGCUCUUCCUGGGGGAUCCCGAGGCGUUCCCAGGCCAGCCGGGAGACAUUGUCUUCCCAACGCGUCCUGGGUCUUCCCGCGGCCUCCUACCGGUCGGACGUGCCCUAAAGACCUCCCUAGGGAGGCGUUUGGGUGGCAUCCUGACCAGAUGCCCGAGCCACCUCAUCUGGCUCUUCUCGAUGUAGAGGAGCAGCGUAUACAGUUUACACAUAUACAGUAGACACAUAUACAGUAUACAGUAUACACAUAUACAGUAUACACCUUUUUAGAUGCAGACGUGUAAAUAUAAUUUUCAAAAAAAGUAUACAAUCAUAGCAGACUUUUGUUUAUUCGUGCACACUUUGCAUCUGGCAUCUGGUUGCUGUGUUCCUAGCAGAACAUAACCUGCUGCUGUUAUUCUCUUCAAAGACUAAUAAUACGCCCACACAAGAUUAAGGCCUUGUGUAACCACAAACCUGUUUGAUGCCACAGUAGCAAGAACACCAACACAUUAUCAUGUCAGCUACAGGCAAAAAAAUAUUUUUGUACUCAUUGCCAAGAAUAGAGGCUUGUGUUUAGAGACUAUGUUUAAAUUCUGUCGCGCCAUGUCUGUGACGAUAAGUGCUGCAGAGAGCCUGACGUCACACUUUCACUAUGUAAAAGCGCUUUGAGUCACUAGAGAAAAGCGCUAUAUAAAUACAAUUCACUUCACGUCACUUCACACUUGCUUCGGGUUGCUGGGAGCCUUCCUCUCAUUAAAAGCCACCAGUGUCAUCUUAAAUUGUGAAUAUCGCUGUCUGCGGGUAUAUCGAAUAUAUUAAAGUACAUCCACAGCGUGGACACGCUGCCUUCGUUGAUCCUUUGAUGUCGGAUAUACUGUUGGCAUCCUGCUGACCGUCUUUCAUUUCUGUUGCGCUUUUAUGUCAUCUUACUUACUAAAGCAGUCACAGUAACAAUCUAAAUGUUAUGUUAUCAUUGCACCUUACCCGUAAUUUGAACACGGAAGUGAAGCACCACCCACCUCUAGAACGGCGCGCAGCAGAUGUGGCCUCUUCUCACUGCGAAAAAUAGUCCUUUCUUGUUGGGAAAACAGCUUUUUAUGGCUUUAAACCUGAUAUUUCCAUAAGGUAGACUUUCUUUUGUCCAUUUCUGCUCGCUUUUGGCUCAUCAGUAGCAAGUGAACUGUAGCCAAGUUCCCCCCGCUCGGCACGGCAGGAGGGUGAAAAAGGAAGUGUUCGCGUUUAUCGCUCGUUAGAAUAAUUAGUGCCGUUAUUAAAAUUUAUAGUUAACGUGUUAUUAUCACGUUAACUUUGACAGCCCUAGUUAUAAUAUGUUACUAUAGUAAUACAAGCUGUAGUCUAUAAUCAACAAAAGCAAACAAUGGGAUGGAUUCCUUCCGGAUAUUAUUUUCCAUGUAAAGUUCAUUGAUAAAAAAUACCACACAACAAUUGGAUCUGCCGGCAAAGCGCUCUUUUUUUGUCAUUGAUGAAAUAUGCUGGAAAUUGCUGACAACUGCUUAAUUACAUACAGGAGACUCCAGCUUUACCUUCCAGCUGCUGUUUUUUUGUGUUUACCACAUUUUGUCUUCUUCAUGUCACCUUGCUCUCCUCUUCUCUCUUUGUUCCAUGGCGAGCAGCUGCCAUAAAUAGCAGAGGUGAGUUGUUGUGAAACUUACCCCCAUGUAGGUAUUAAUAUGUGAUCCAGCAAGCUGAUGUAAAUUAGGUGCUGAUUUACAGCAACAGCCAAAGGCAGUUAACCAAAUGUGACCCACAUACAUAAAUAUUACAUUUUGAAUUGACAAGACAUUUUAAUUAAUUAGCAGUCGGGUUUAACAUUUUUCUGUAAUUUGUAAGUUGCACAUUUUAAAUUGGAAUUUAUGUAAAGUUUGGGGAAAUAAUAUUUUUAUACAUUUUGCAAGUCAAUGUACAUCAAGGGAUAAGACAAUGUUAUUUCUAAACAGCACCAACUACAUUCCAUGCAAAUUAACUUCAAAUGGCUACUGUGCACACACACGAUCUAUCAUCACAUACGGCCUACAUACACCAUGUAAAGUGCAUUUCUCCAUCACAUGCACAGAUUACUAUAAUGGCAUUGUUAAUCCAUUUAUAUUUUUUGUUCUUUGAAUUACUUAAAAAUUGCCAUCAUAAAUAUAUUUUAAAAAAAGUAAAAUCAUAUAUUCCUCUUAAAAUGGGGAAAUAGUUUCAAUGCACAGAAAACAAUCCUCUUAGUCUUAGCAUCUUUAAAAGGGAUUUGCCUCCAUCAUCCGUAGUCCUUAUGUGAGACAAGAACCCAUGUCUUUUUUUUUUUCUGUGUAUUGUAAAUAGUGAAAAACUACUAGCAAGAAGCGGCUAACAAUAAGGGUGACGGGGAUGCGAUCUAUUCUAUAAAGCCCUCUAAUAAACAUCCAAAAACGCUUCAUAGACAUGCUGCAGGUACGUAUGUAAUAUAUAACAUGUACUAUUUACAGUAUUUUAGUCGUUUUAAAAGGGAGCGAUUGUGCAAAGUCAACUUUUCAUACCAAUUGGUACUCGUUUUUGUGUAUUACGGACAAUUUGAAUCAAUUUUAAAUCAAACCAUGGCUGCAUGUCAGAUAUUUAUAAAACAAUAUUGUUUUACUUUAUACUUCCUACAGACGAGCAGUUUGCAAUUUGCCCAAUUUGUGGUGUUUUUCCCAAGUCUGACAUCAGCAGAUAGUUCCAUAUAUGGUAAUGUUUUACCCAAAAGAGUAAGACGGCCCGGGCGCACCCCAGUGCGCAUUCAUUUGUGCGCUGUGCUGGGCGCACCUCCAAGAGCGCACCGGGCGCGCGCCACUCAGGCUGCAGACGGCUACAAUCCAUCGGCUCAAUCAGCACUCAACACACCUGUCGCUGAUGAGCUUCUUAAGCCAGUGCAAACCUGCGUUCCGGGCCAGAACGUAGCGAUCUGUUCCAGUACACAGCCUUUCUCCGUUUCCGCGUCACGAGCUGUGUGUCUCGUCUCCCCGUAUUCCCUCUGGUUCCGUGGCUGCCGUUUGGAUCUCGACCUCCCGCCUGAACACGGACUUUGGCGCCUCGCUUCUGCCCUUGAACUCAUGCCUGCCCACAGACCUUCGACCCUGCCUUGCCCCCCUGUGGGAAUUCUGCAACUCGCUCAACACUACCGCAGAAAGGUUGCAUCCGUGUACACUGUGCGUCCUUUCAUAUCCCGAGAUCCUUUGUGCGCUCAACUCUGAAAAUACUUUUCAACAUGGCAGCGAUAUGCGGAGCGGAAAGAGCCACCUUAAAAUGUGAGUAUAGCUUUUUUUGUUCAUUUAAAACAGCUAAAAGAAGACAAGUCACGCUGGGGUGACGGUAGUGAUAUACAUUUGUGUUAAAAUGCGAGGCCUCGACCAUCGUAAUGUCGUGCUCUUUGCCCCUGUUUUUAUCCCGAGGGAGAGCCAUAUAUCCGGCCAUUGCAGACAGCUUCGUGCCCAGAGCUUUUUUCAACGUUUAGAAGUAAAGCCUUACAUCUCUUAAAGGCCUACUGAAACCCACUACUACCGACCACGCAGUCUGAUAGUUUAUAUAUCAAUGAUGAAAUCUUAACAUUAUAACACAUGCCAAUACGGCCGGGUUAACUUAUAAAGUGACAUUUUAAAUUUGCCGCUAAACUUCCGGUUCGAAACGCCUCUGAGGAUGACGUAUGCGCGUGACGUAGCCCGACGAACACGGGUAUGCCUUCCACAUUGAAGCCAAUAUGAAAAAGCUCUGUUUUCAUUUCAU
Entelurus aequoreus (snake pipefish) is the source of this 4945-nucleotide long non-coding RNA. RefSeq lists it as uncharacterized. Lineage: Eukaryota; Metazoa; Chordata; Actinopteri; Syngnathiformes; Syngnathidae. The transcript has 3 exons. The record is from RefSeq and is a predicted model, not a curated record.